GUGGUGUCUUUAAUGGCGGGCAGAUAUUUUUCCUGCCACCGAAUACAUUAGCAUGGGAUAAUGGAAUAGGACCCUGACCUCCUAUUUUCAGUUGGUUUUGUUUACAGCGAGGUUAUAUCAGGGUAAUGAUUAAUAGGGAUAGUUGGGGGCAUUAAUAUUUAAUUGUCAGAGGUGAAAUUCUUGGAUUUAUGAAAGAUUAACUUCUGCGAAAGCGUUUGCCAAGGAUGUUUUCAUUAAUCAAGAACGAAAGUUAGGGGAUCGAAGACGAUCAGAUACCGUCGUAGUCUUAACCAUAAACGAUGCCGACCAGCGAUUAGGAGACGUUGAAUACAAAACACCGCCGUUAAUCCUUUCGGGGGUUAAUGGUUGGUGAAUGACUCCCUAGCAGCUUGUGAGAA
This 398-nucleotide ribosomal RNA is filed under the name Acanthamoeba sp. Its description in RNAcentral is "SSU rRNA". It matches the Rfam family "Eukaryotic small subunit ribosomal RNA", at positions 766 to 1096 of the family's 1831-position model. The record is from RNAcentral. Lineage: Eukaryota; Discosea; Longamoebia; Acanthamoebidae.